Non-coding RNA from Acanthosepion pharaonis, 96 nucleotides. The record is from the annotation of a GenBank genome assembly. Lineage: Eukaryota; Metazoa; Mollusca; Cephalopoda; Sepiida; Sepiidae.
UGUAACACUUGUUCUCGUACGAUCACUGAAGUUAAGCAACAUCGAGUCUAGUCAGUACCUAGACGGGUAACUUUUAGGGAAUACCUGAUGCUGUAA